RNAcentral lists this ribosomal RNA (803 nucleotides) under Escherichia coli. Its description in RNAcentral is "partial 23S ribosomal RNA". It matches the Rfam family "Bacterial large subunit ribosomal RNA", at positions 433 to 1238 of the family's 2925-position model. The record is from RNAcentral. Lineage: Bacteria; Pseudomonadati; Pseudomonadota; Gammaproteobacteria; Enterobacterales; Enterobacteriaceae.
CCUGUCUGAAUAUGGGGGGACCAUCCUCCAAGGCUAAAUACUCCUGACUGACCGAUAGUGAACCAGUACCGUGAGGGAAAGGCGAAAAGAACCCCGGCGAGGGGAGUGAAAAAGAACCUGAAACCGUGUACGUACAAGCAGUGGGAGCCUCUUAAUGGGGUGACUGCGUACCUUUUGUAUAAUGGGUCAGCGACUUAUAUUCUGUAGCAAGGUUAACCGAAUAGGGGAGCCGAAGGGAAACCGAGUCUUAACUGGGCGUUAAGUUGCAGGGUAUAGACCCGAAACCCGGUGAUCUAGCCAUGGGCAGGUUGAAGGUUGGGUAACACUAACUGGAGGACCGAACCGACUAAUGUUGAAAAAUUAGCGGAUGACUUGUGGCUGGGGGUGAAAGGCCAAUCAAACCGGGAGAUAGCUGGUUCUCCCCGAAAGCUAUUUAGGUAGCGCCUCGUGAAUUCAUCUCCGGGGGUAGAGCACUGUUUCGGCAAGGGGGUCAUCCCGACUUACCAACCCGAUGCAAACUGCGAAUACCGGAGAAUGUUAUCACGGGAGACACACGGCGGGUGCUAACGUCCGUCGUGAAGAGGGAAACAACCCAGACCGCCAGCUAAGGUCCCAAAGUCAUGGUUAAGUGGGAAACGAUGUGGGAAGGCCCAGACAGCCAGGAUGUUGGCUUAGAAGCAGCCAUCAUUUAAAGAAAGCGUAAUAGCUCACUGGUCGAGUCGGCCUGCGCGGAAGAUGUAACGGGGCUAAACCAUGCACCGAAGCUGCGGCAGCGACACUAUGUGUUGUUGGGUAGGGGAGCG